Long non-coding RNA from Trifolium pratense (red clover), 1072 nucleotides. RefSeq lists it as uncharacterized. The transcript has 5 exons. The record is from RefSeq and is a predicted model, not a curated record. Lineage: Eukaryota; Viridiplantae; Streptophyta; Magnoliopsida; Fabales; Fabaceae.
CAAUUUGCUCAUCAACCACACGUGUGAGUUGUGACCUUCUUUUUCAGAUUUUAUAUUUUAAUUUUUUUUUCUUCUCCCUCACACCACCAAAACACAUGUGAAAUUCCUAAUCUCAACCCAAAACACAGUUCAAUCUCCUCCACCGCCAUUCUCUGAUUUCACCUUCAUUCAACCUUCUCCUCAGAUUCGUUCAACCUUCAGCUUCAAUCUUCAAAAUCCAGGUUUUGUAGGUUCUUCUACUGCCGGAAGUGAGUCAACCAGUUUGACGUUACACAAGUUCCUUGAUAAGCAUAGCUUAUUGUUUUGCAGAAGUCUUUUCAAAGCUUUAUAAAUUUAAAUCAUGAAAGAUAAGUUGAAACAGUUGAAAGGUCAAACUUACGGCACAGACCCAUUGGUAUUGGAGUUCAAGGUCUUGAUGAUUCCUUCAUACUGCUAGGAAUGACAUUUGAUUCACCAGAGAGUUGAAAGAAAGACUAUACAAGUUUAAAUUGGAAGAAGAAAGAUUUUAAGCUCUUUUUCUACCUUUCAAAUUAUUUGAUCAUAAGCUGACAGGCGGCUAAGCUUGCACAUGCAUCAGAUGUGCAGUCACCACUAGAUGACGAUGCUUGAACACAAUGAUAGCGGGAUGAGGAUGUUGGCUUAUCAUCAUUUUGUUAUCAUGAGAAUUGUUUAUUGCAUAUGUACUUGGUAGUUCAAUCAUAUUGUGUGUGGGAUGUAACUUUGUGUGAUGCUCACCUAUUUCAAUUUAGAGCUAAAUUGUAAUUUUAAACUUCGGUGACAAUGAAUGCAGUGCAUGCACAAAUUAGAGGAAACUCUAAGUUCAGUAUAAUUGUACUAGUAUUAAGAAUCUGUUAAGUUUACAUUCCAACUUUGAGGCGAAGUUUGUUAAGUGCCAAGUAAUUUGGUUGCCCAUUUGUUAGCUAAGGCGGCAAAUUCUUGGCCUAGGCGCAAUGUGUUUCAUUUGAUUCCUCAUUGUAUUGAGAACACUAAGUAAUUAAAUGAGUUAAGUUUGUUUGUGUAAAAAAAAAAAGUCUGACCAAACUAUACAGAUUAAUAUAUUCUUUUUGAUUAA